AAACCAGCCAAUUAAUCUGCCUUAUCUCAUUGGCUUCUGCAGAAAUUUAGAAAGGGCUGGCAAUAAUGAUGCCAUGUUACGAGCCUUAAGGACAGCUGCAGUCUUUAAGGUCCCUGAAAAUGGCUACAGUA
RNAcentral lists this small nucleolar RNA (131 nucleotides) under Meriones unguiculatus (Mongolian gerbil). Its description in RNAcentral is "Small nucleolar RNA SNORA33 (ENSMUGG00000008975.1)". It matches the Rfam family "Small nucleolar RNA SNORA33". From Rfam's summary of the family: ACA33 is a member of the H/ACA class of snoRNA that guide the sites of modification of uridines to pseudouridines. Lineage: Eukaryota; Metazoa; Chordata; Mammalia; Rodentia; Muridae. The record is from RNAcentral.